CCUACGGGUGGCAGCAGUGAGGAAUAUUGGUCAAUGGGCGCGAGCCUGAACCAGCCAAGUAGCGUGAAGGAAGACUGCCCUACGGGUUGUAAACUUCUUUUAUAAAGGAAUAAAGUGAGGCACGCGUGCCUUUUUGUAUGUACUUUAUGAAUAAGGAUCGGCUAACUACGUGCCAGCAGCCGCGGUAAUACGGAGGAUCCGAGCGUUAUCCGGAUUUAUUGGGUUUAAAGGGAGCGUAGAUGGGUUGUUAAGUCAGGUGUGAAAGUUUGCGGCUCAACCGUUAAAUUGCAAUUGAUACUGGAUGUCUUGAGUACAGGUGAGGUAGGCGGAAUGCGUGGUGUAGCGGUGAAAUGCUUAGAUAUCACGAAGAACUCCGAUUGCGAAGGCAGCUUACUAGACUGCAACUGACAUUGAGGCUCGAAAGUGUGGGUAUCAAACAGGAUUAGAUACCCGUGUAGUC
RNAcentral lists this ribosomal RNA (460 nucleotides) under uncultured bacterium. RNAcentral describes it as "partial 16S ribosomal RNA". It matches the Rfam family "Bacterial small subunit ribosomal RNA", at positions 338 to 795 of the family's 1533-position model. The record is from RNAcentral.